RNAcentral lists this ribosomal RNA (1453 nucleotides) under Staphylococcus aureus. RNAcentral describes it as "partial 23S ribosomal RNA". It matches the Rfam family "Bacterial large subunit ribosomal RNA", at positions 755 to 2207 of the family's 2925-position model. The record is from RNAcentral. Lineage: Bacteria; Bacillati; Bacillota; Bacilli; Caryophanales; Staphylococcaceae.
GGUAACACUGAAUGGAGGACCGAACCGACUUACGUUGAAAAGUGAGCGGAUGAACUGAGGGUAGCGGAGAAAUUCCAAUCGAACCUGGAGAUAGCUGGUUCUCUCCGAAAUAGCUUUAGGGCUAGCCUCAAGUGAUGAUUAUUGGAGGUAGAGCACUGUUUGGACGAGGGGCCCCUCUCGGGUUACCGAAUUCAGACAAACUCCGAAUGCCAAUUAAUUUAACUUGGGAGUCAGAACAUGGGUGAUAAGGUCCGUGUUCGAAAGGGAAACAGCCCAGACCACCAGCUAAGGUCCCAAAAUAUAUGUUAAGUGGAAAAGGAUGUGGCGUUGCCCAGACAACUAGGAUGUUGGCUUAGAAGCAGCCAUCAUUUAAAGAGUGCGUAAUAGCUCACUAGUCGAGUGACACUGCGCCGAAAAUGUACCGGGGCUAAACAUAUUACCGAAGCUGUGGAUUGUCCUUUGGACAAUGGUAGGAGAGCGUUCUAAGGGCGUUGAAGCAUGAUCGUAAGGACAUGUGGAGCGCUUAGAAGUGAGAAUGCCGGUGUGAGUAGCGAAAGACGGGUGAGAAUCCCGUCCACCGAUUGACUAAGGUUUCCAGAGGAAGGCUCGUCCGCUCUGGGUUAGUCGGGUCCUAAGCUGAGGCCGACAGGCGUAGGCGAUGGAUAACAGGUUGAUAUUCCUGUACCACCUAUAAUCGUUUUAAUCGAUGGGGGGGACGCAGUAGGAUAGGCGAAGCGUGCGAUUGGAUUGCACGUCUAAGCAGUAAGGCUGAGUAUUAGGCAAAUCCGGUACUCGUUAAGGCUGAGCUGUGAUGGGGAGAAGACAUUGAGUCUUCGAGUCGUUGAUUUCACACUGCCGAGAAAAGCCUCUAGAUAGAAAAUAGGUGCCCGUACCGCAAACCGACACAGGUAGUCAAGAUGAGAAUUCUAAGGUGAGCGAGCGAACUCUCGUUAAGGAACUCGGCAAAAUGACCCCGUAACUUCGGGAGAAGGGGUGCUCUUUAGGGUUAACGCCCAGAAGAGCCGCAGUGAAUAGGCCCAAGCGACUGUUUAUCAAAAACACAGGUCUCUGCUAAACCGUAAGGUGAUGUAUAGGGGCUGACGCCUGCCCGGUGCUGGAAGGUUAAGAGGAGUGGUUAGCUUCUGCGAAGCUACGAAUCGAAGCCCCAGUAAACGGCGGCCGUAACUAUAACGGUCCUAAGGUAGCGAAAUUCCUUGUCGGGUAAGUUCCGACCCGCACGAAAGGCGUAACGAUUUGGGCACUGUCUCAACGAGAGACUCGGUGAAAUCAUAGUACCUGUGAAGAUGCAGGUUACCCGCGACAGGACGGAAAGACCCCGUGGAGCUUUACUGUAGCCUGAUAUUGAAAUUCGGCACAGCUUGUACAGGAUAGGUAGGAGCCUUUGAAACGUGAGCGCUAGCUUACGUGGAGGCGCUGGUGGGAUACUACCCUA